ACACCGCCCGUCGCUACUACCGAUUGAACGGCUCAGUGAGGCCUUCGGACUGGCCGAGAGUGGUGGGCAACCACCGCUCAUGUGCCGGAAAGUUGUACGAACUCGGUCGUUUAGAGGAAGUAAAAGUCGUAACAAGGUCUCCGUUGGUGAACCAGCGGAGGGAUCAUUACAGAGUUGCAAAACUCCCAACCCUUUGUGAACCACAACCUCCAGUCGUUGCUUCGGCGGGCCCGCCCGCCGGAGGUUCAAACAAACUCAUGUUUUCCGAGUACGUCUUCUGAGCAAACAAGAAAAAAUAAAUCAAAACUUUCAACAACGGAUCUCUUGGCUCUGGCAUCGAUGAAGAACGCAGCGAAAUGCGAUAAGUAAUGUGAAUUGCAGAAUUCAGUGAAUCAUCGAAUCUUUGAACGCACAUUGCGCCCGCCGGUAUUCCGGCGGGCAUGCCUGUCCGAGCGUCAUUUCAACCCUCAAGCCCGCUUCGGCUUGGUGUUGGGGCGCCCGGGGCUCCCAGCGGGCCCCGGGGCCCCCAAGUUCAUCGGCGGGCUCGUCGGAACCCUGAGCGUAGUAGCAAGGCCCUAAGAAGCCGAACCCCCUCGCUCGGCCCGUCCCGGCGUGCACACCAGCCGCUAAAGAGACCCCAACGGGAACCAUAAGGGUUGACCUCGGAUCAGGUAGGAAUACCCGCUGAACUUAAG
This 695-nucleotide ribosomal RNA is filed under the name Neocordana musae. RNAcentral describes it as "partial 5.8S ribosomal RNA". The stretch from base 305 to 458 matches the Rfam family "5.8S ribosomal RNA". Lineage: Eukaryota; Fungi; Ascomycota; Sordariomycetes; Magnaporthales; Pyriculariaceae. The record is from RNAcentral.